AGAUUUGAGGCUUUUUGUUACUUCUGCUAAAGAAAAUUUUCUUUUAAGAACUCCUUUUCUUGUCUACGGCCACACCACCCUGAACGCUCCUGAUCUCAUCUGAUCUCGGAAGAACUCCUUUUCUUUUUCCCAGAAAAACACAAAAAUUUAUUUGUAAAACCUGUUAUGACUUAAAAAUGAACCCCAAAUUAAUAUGAGUUUGAAUGGAUUAACACAGACUUGUGUUUUUUUAAAUUUUGUUUUUUGUUUUUGUUUUUAGUACUGGGUAGAAAUAUAGUUCAAUAAAAGAUGUACUGUUCUGUGUGUUUAGAAUGCCCUUUUUUCUCUUCUUCACUUUUUGGAUUUAUAUUUUUAAGGCAGAGAUUAUAAUCUCUUAACUGGCAGGCCAGAUUUAGCCUACAAACAUAUUUUAUUUGCCCUUAAAUGUUGUUUUUUAAUUUUCCUUUUAAAAAAAUCAGUUGUUUUUCACAAAAAUGUGAUUCCCAUCUUUUAAUAAAAUAUUGGAAUUCUGAUAACAUUGGGCCUACAGUCGUAUGAGGCAACAGUUGACUUUUCUCAAUGGCAGCUAACCCUUUUAGGAGGGCAGAAAGUCUUCAGUUUGCCAUAGUUCUCACCAUGGCCACAUCCCUUCCUUUAUUUACCUACCUGGUUUCAACAGGGAUUUAUUUAGGUUUAAAAUGCCUGCUUUAAGGCAUUUCUCAAGGUUCAUUUCUUCAUAGGUUUCCCCACCAUUUCUCUUGCAGACUGAAUUACAGUGGGCUUCUCUAUUCAUAUGUUCUGCAUCCAUGGAGUCAACCAACCAUGGCUUAGAAAUCCAUUUUUAGGGCUGAGGUUGUGGCUUGGUGGUAGAGCACUGACCUAGCAUAUGUGAGACACUGGGUUUGAUUCUUAGCACCACAUAUGAAUAAAUGAAUAAAAUAAAGGUCCAUCAACAAUUUAAACAAAAUUUUAAAAAAGAAAUCCAUUUCUAAACAAUUGUGACUUUAGAAUAUAACAAUUAUAUCCCUAAAAGCUAGAAGAAAUAACGUUGAGUAUUUCACUGAAAAUGAUACAUGUUUUAAAAAAAUUGCAUUGGUACAGAAUAUAUACAAGCUUUUUUCUGUCAUUAUUCCCUAAAUAAUACAGUAUAACAACCAUUUAUAUAGUAUUAACAUUCUAUUAGGUAUUAAUAAGUAAUCUUGAGAUGGUUUAAAGUAUAUGAGAGGAUGUGCUUAAGUUAUGUGGAAAUACUAUGCUAUUUUAUAUAAGGGAUGUGAGCAUGUGUACACUUUGAAAUCUAUAGAGGCCUGGAACCAAUCUCCAACCUAUAUCAAAGGACACUUGUAUUCUUAUAGUACAUGCAUUUGUACAUACCUAAAUUAUAAUUCAUAACAUUUUAUUGGAAUUAUGUAUUUAUGUCUGUGAGCUGUUAAAGUUAAGGUACAUGUCACCUAUUUUUAUGUCCAUAACAUUUAGUACAGUGCCUGGCACGUGUAGAAAUUCAGUCAAUGUUUGUUAAAUAAAUAUGUGAAACUCCAUUUACUCUGCCAAUACUUAAAAACAUUUGAGUCCUUGACUACUUGGAAGAAACGUUUGCAUAAAUGUGCAGUUGCUAUUGAUAUAAUUAAACAUUUCUUCAAGAAAUAUUGUUGCAUUCCUUCUGUGUCUGCAUUUGUCAAUUAUUUGGACCCACUACCAACCUGAUACUCUUAGAGGUUGUAAAUAUAACUGAACAAAAUUAAUGAAGCACUCAUAAAAGUUCUUAAUAGGGAGGCUUCUGGAGGGUGCUAUAUAUCUCUUCAGUUAGUCAUUGGUUUAUGUGGACUUUUUUUUUUCCUGAUCCAAAUUCUUAAAUCUUAGAGGAAUUAUUUUAAUCUGAAAACUCAUUGUUUACUUUGGUGCUUAAUCGUAUGUCUUAGUGUGUGUUAUCUUGCUAAUAACACAAUACCAUAGAAUGGGUACGUUAUAAUGAAAAGAGCCAAGACUUUGGAUUAUGGCUUUAUCCAAUAUUGAGCCCCAGUGUGGUGCAGAGAAUCACAUGGUGAGAAACAAGGAGCUUUUAUACCAGACCCACUCUUGAGAUAACACAUGAACUCCUUAAUCUGUUAUCCCAUUAAUUAUAUGAAUGGGUUAAUCC
RNAcentral lists this long non-coding RNA (2116 nucleotides) under Marmota monax (woodchuck). The record is from RNAcentral. Lineage: Eukaryota; Metazoa; Chordata; Mammalia; Rodentia; Sciuridae.